This is an RNA transcript of Panicum virgatum (switchgrass), 1520 nucleotides long. RefSeq lists it as uncharacterized. The transcript is spliced from 3 exons. Lineage: Eukaryota; Viridiplantae; Streptophyta; Magnoliopsida; Poales; Poaceae. The record is from RefSeq and is a predicted model, not a curated record.
CGUGGCGCGUAGUUGCUACAUACUGCAUUCGUGAUACAAGACCGCCACGCAGUAUCAUAUCUAUCACCACGUGUCGGAAGUAGGCCGGACACAUCGGCUCUACGCGGUGCGGCACAGAGACCUAUGCGUCGUCCUUGACUGCAGAAAGAAUCCAUCCACGUCGCCUGGUUUGCCUCGCCUUGCGAGCGUCGCCCCUGCUCUGCAUCAUCGCCUCAGUCCUCGAGCCAACGCUAGCCUCACGGCCGUCCUCCUCCGCCAUUUACUGAACACCACGGCGAGGUCCUCCUCCUCCGCCGUGUACUGAGCUCGACCACGGCGAGCUCCUGAUACCGCGUCCGUGUCUCCGUCGAGCACACCCUGCUUCCUCUUCUUCCACAGCACCUGACAUGAGAGAGAAAGGGGCCUCUCGAUGCAAAGGGCAGGGCCCAAAGUGCGAAGCGCGGUGUGCCGGGAUCGAUCCAUCGAGGACUCUCGAGCUCCACUGCAGCAGCACCGCUUCCGUGUCCUUCAGCCUCCGCCUACAGCAAGCUCCACAAGCACUUGCUUUUGCAUCAACCACGUAUGCCCUGCUUAUGGUUGUAUUUGCAACCAUCACUACAGACGGUGUCAAGUCGCUUCCUCCCUCCUGUUCAGCUCUCGAUCUCCACGGCGUUUAAUUUGCAUCCCGCCAUCAAAGUAAGGAGAGAACAGAUACCUUCCAAAGGUUAGUGGGGAGCUCACGAACUCUUUCCUUUUGUCCUCGGAUAUCCAUGGUGCUCAACACUGGAAAUGGACACAUAUUUGGUGCACAAUCCAUCCAUACGAUUCAGAAGGCACAAACUCUAGGUCAGUUAAUUAUCAGCCAAUGUUGAUAAUAAUCCUUUUGGUAAUUAUACAUUGAUUGUUCAUCUUCGAUUGUUGUUAACUUUGCUUCAUUAGGUUUUUUACUCCUUUUUGCCAUUGUUUAAUUUUUGUUGUAUUAUAUGUGUUUAGACCAAAUCACUCAUGACAUUCCAUACUAAUUUUUGGUACCUGCAUAUUAUGGUUGUUCUUAAGCCCUCAGCAACUGUAUAUGUGUUCAAAAUUAUAUAUGCAUGCAGAAUGUGUAAGCCUGUAGAAGCAUAUUUUUCCCCCACCAUGCAGCUCACAGGUGGAAUGGGUUGCCAGAGCUUGUCAAAAGCCAAGGUGGGCCAUCACUGACUGGUAUGUCACAGGGUAGCACAACAAAUUCUUUAGUACCUUGGUGGUGUAAUAGUUUUUUUUGUCUAAAUUGGCUUUUCUACAUGAUAGCUCCCUGCAGAAAUCUACAUGAUAACUCCCUGCAGAAAUGCGACAUGACAUGAUCAAUUGUCUAUUCACAAUAAACAAUGCCAAGCAAACAAAUACCAAGGACUGCAACCUUCAGUUAUAGUUGUUGAUGAUAUUCCCAAGAGCCCAUCAUCACAAUACGGUUUAAAGGCCCAAGAGGAUAUUGAUCAAAGAGGGAUUAAGGUUACUAAUGGGCCUAUGAGAUAGAAGCCCAUUAGUACGCCCUAUAUAUA